UGCGAAGGGGGGACGGAGAAGGCUAUGUUGGCCGGGCGACGGUUGUCCCGGUUUAAGCGUGUAGGCUGGUUUUCCAGGCAAAUCCGGAAAACCAAGGCUGAGGCGUGAUGACGAGGCACUACGGUGCUGAAGCGACAAAUGCCCUGCUUCCAGGAAAAGCCUCUAAGCAUCAGGUAACAUCAAAUCGUACCCCAAACCGACACAGGUGGUCAGGUAGAGAAUACCAAGGCGCUUGAGAGAACUCGGGUGAAGGAACUAGGCAAAAUGGUGCCGUAACUUCGGGAGAAGGCACGCUGAUAUGUAGGUGAAGCGACUUGCUCGUGGAGCUGAAAUCAGUCGAAGAUACCAGCUGGCUGCAACUGUUUAUUAAAAACACAGCACUGUGCAAACACGAAAGUGGACGUAUACGGUGUGACGCCUGCCCGGUGCCGGAAGGUUAAUUGAUGGGGUUAGCGGUAACGCGAAGCUCUUGAUCGAAGCCCCGGUAAACGGCGGCCGUAACUAUAACGGUCCUAAGGUAGCGAAAUUCCUUGUCGGGUAAGUUCCGACCUGCACGAAUGGCGUAAUGAUGGCCAGGCUGUCUCCACCCGAGACUCAGUGAAAUUGAACUCGCUGUGAAGAUGCAGUGUACCCGCGGCAAGACGGAAAGACCCCGUGAACCUUUACUAUAGCUUGACACUGAACAUUGAGCCUUGAUGUGUAGGAUAGGUGGGAGGCUUUGAAGUGUGGACGCCAGUCUGCAUGGAGCCGACCUUGAAAUACCACCCUUUAAUGUUUGAUGUUCUAACGUUGGCCCGUAAUCCGGGUUGCGGACAGUGUCUGGUGGGUAGUUUGACUGGGGCGGUCUCCUCCUAAAGAGUAACGGAGGAGCACGAAGGUUGGCUAAUCCUGGUCGGACAUCAGGAGGUUAGUGCAAUGGCAUAAGCCAGCUUGACUGCGAGCGUGACGGCGCGAGCAGGUGCGAAAGCAGGUCAUAGUGAUCCGGUGGUUCUGAAUGGAAGGGCCAUCGCUCAACGGAUAAAAGGUACUCCGGGGAUAACAGGCUGAUACCGCCCAAGAGUUCAUAUCGACGGCGGUGUUUGGCACCUCGAUGUCGGCUCAUCACAUCCUGGGGCUGAAGUAGGUCCCAAGGGUAUGGCUGUUCGCCAUUUAAAGUGGUACGCGAGCUGGGUUUAGAACGUCGUGAGACAGUUCGGUCCCUAUCUGCCGUGGGCGCUGGAGAACUGAGGGGGGCUGCUCCUAGUACGAGAGGACCGGAGUGGACGCAUCACUGGUGUUCGGGUUGUCAUGCCAAUGGCACUGCCCGGUAGCUAAAUGCGGAAGAGAUAAGUGCUGAAAGCAUCUAAGCACGAAACUUGC
Molecule: ribosomal RNA, 1359 nt
Filed under: Escherichia coli
Lineage: Bacteria; Pseudomonadati; Pseudomonadota; Gammaproteobacteria; Enterobacterales; Enterobacteriaceae
Description: partial 23S ribosomal RNA
Rfam family: Bacterial large subunit ribosomal RNA
Source: RNAcentral